AAAAAAAAAAAAAAUAGAUAUUUUUAUUUGUAUUAUUGUAAUUAAUAAAAUUAUACACCGUGCAGAAUAUAAGAUAAUAUAAAGAAUAUAUAUAGGUACUUAUCAAUAUUAAUAAUUACUAUUUUAAUAUAAUACAAUGUAAAUUAUUAUAACGAUUAUCAAACACGAUUAGAUGAAAUACGUACGACAUUCUCAAAUAACAAGUAUAGGUAUAUAUUAAUAUAAAAAUUUUUAUUUUUUUUUUUUCUCUACAUUAUUUUAUUCAAAAUUUAAUGUCGUCGAUCUCGUAUGCCGUGCUAUUAUACACAGCAUUACAGCAAAGAGGAUCGCGCGCUUAUCGUGGGUAUCGUAUACGUUGGACGGAUAAAACUGAUAAAAAUUUACACGUCUUGUAAAAUAAUAUAUGACCCGAGACGGGAAGACGUGGACGUAUAUUAUUAGUAAUAAUUAUAUAAAACGAAAAAAACCAAAAGCGAAUUUAAACAGCAAAACAAUAAUAAUUUUAGUGCGGUUAUAACUUAGGCAUACAGUUAGGUAUUAUGGAGAAGAAAAAUAUUGUGUUUUUAUAUUUCACAUACGAGAGACUUAAUAGUAGUUAAUAUUAUAUUUUUAUCAAGUCGGUUACAAUGCGGUUUUCCUAUGUCAUCCGUAACAAUAAUAAUAGAAAAAAAAAAAAAGUAUUUAUAUAAAAAAAACGCGGUGAUAACCAUGAAAAUAACAAUAAUAUGUACUUCUAUAACUGUCUAACGUUAAAACAAUAACCAAAACCUAUUCUAGAGGGGAAAUUAUUGCUAACCAAUAGCAAGUCGAAUAUUAAGACAUUAUACCUGUGUCAAUUAUAAAAUAGUAUAGUUCCAUAAUAUUAUACUUAUAUAUAUAUAUUUCUAAAAAUACAAAAUAAAAAAAAUCACCAACGUAGAGCCUUGCUUAUUCGAUGUUACAGGUAGGAUAGCUGGGGCGCCCGUCUUCGAAAAUCCAAGGUGUAGUUACGAGGACGAUGCAUUAUUUGUUUUUAAGUUUGUAUUUUGCUAAAACUGCAGUUAACGUACGGAAAAGCCAACGGGGGGGGGGUCGUACUCCCCCCCCCGGUCCCGAUGGACGAUCGCGGUGUAUGAUACGUAUAAAAAGGUUUCGAUAAAAAAAAAGAACCUCUACUUUUAUUGGCGCGGGUAUUCAGGGGGGAAAAAAAAUGACUUAUCGAGUCGAUACAUUCACAGGUAAGUACGUAAUAAGUAAUAUGGGUUUUAUACGUGUAUAAUAUAAUAUUAUUGCGUGCUUAAAAUUACACUUAAACUACCACUAGAAAUAUAGGUAAUAUUGUGAUAAUAUUAGGUACGUGUUUGGUCCCAGGGGAGAGAAGAAGGGCUCAAAUCGAUUUUCGGCAUUUUUUUUUUAUUUUUUUUUUUAUCCGGUCUUGUGCAAUCUGUUUCCCUUUUCCCGGUCUAAAUGACACAAGUGCCGCAGCGUGUAUUAUUAUUGUGUUACAGUUGUACGACCUGAGCCGCGCGGAUCACGCCGUUUACACAUAGCGACAAUUCGGCCGUUUCCAUGGACAUUUUCAAACGUUCAAAAUCCGCUGCUGCGGAAAACCGUACGAAACCGAGCGACUCGCGGACACUUUUUCCCCGGGACCAACGCAUCGUAUUAAACGUGUAUACCUAAUGCAUUGUUAUUGUUAUUUCGUAAUCGUAUAAAUACCCAUGUUGUAACACCCGAACGUGAAAUCGCCACGUUUGUCGGUGGGUUUAGCGUGUAGACUGUGGGCAAAGGCUGUGGUAGCGCUGCGGUAAAACGUGUAUGGAAAUUUAUAGGUGUUUUCU
Molecule: non-coding RNA, 1820 nt
Organism: Cinara cedri
Lineage: Eukaryota; Metazoa; Arthropoda; Insecta; Hemiptera; Aphididae
Source: the annotation of a GenBank genome assembly